GAAUAUUGGACAAUGGGCGCAAGCCUGAUCCAGCCAUGCCGCGUGUGUGAAGAAGGCCUUCGGGUUGUAAAGCACUUUCAGCGAGGAGGAAGGGUGUUGUGUUAAUAGCACAGCAUUUUGACGUUACUCGCAGAAGAAGCACCGGCUAACUCUGUGCCAGCAGCCGCGGUAAUACAGAGGGGGCAAGCGUUGUUCGGAAUUACUGGGCGUAAAGGGCGCGUAGGCGGCCUGCUAAGUCGAACGUGAAAUCCCUGGGCUCAACCCAGGAACUGCGUCCGAUACUGGUUGGCUUGAAUCCGGGAGAGGGAUGUGGAAUUCCAGGUGUAGCGGUGAAAUGCGUAGAUAUCUGGAGGAACACCGGUGGCGAAGGCGACAUCCUGGACCGGUAUUGACGCUGAGGCGCGAAAGCCAGGGGAGCAAACGGG
Molecule: ribosomal RNA, 425 nt
Filed under: uncultured bacterium
Lineage: Bacteria
Description: bacterial SSU rRNA
Rfam family: Bacterial small subunit ribosomal RNA
Source: RNAcentral